RNAcentral lists this non-coding RNA (29 nucleotides) under Rattus norvegicus (Norway rat). The record is from RNAcentral. Lineage: Eukaryota; Metazoa; Chordata; Mammalia; Rodentia; Muridae.
CCUGCCUGCUAAGGAAUAACAAGUGGGAA